This is a non-coding RNA of Mauremys reevesii (Reeves's turtle), 99 nucleotides long. The record is from the annotation of a RefSeq genome assembly. Lineage: Eukaryota; Metazoa; Chordata; Testudines; Geoemydidae.
GCUGUGAUGGCCGAGUGGCUAAGGUGUUGGACUCAAAAUCCAAGAGGGUUUCCCUGCGCAGGUUCAAAUCCUGCGCAGGUUCAAAUCCUGCUCACGGCA